Molecule: ribosomal RNA, 628 nt
Filed under: uncultured Lachnospiraceae bacterium
Lineage: Bacteria; Bacillati; Bacillota; Clostridia; Lachnospirales; Lachnospiraceae
Description: bacterial SSU rRNA
Rfam family: Bacterial small subunit ribosomal RNA
Source: RNAcentral
UGGUGAUUGAGUGGCGGACGGGUGAGUAACGCGUGGGUAACCUGCCCUGUACAGGGGGAUAACAGUCAGAAAUGACUGCUAAUACCGCAUAAGACCACAGCACCGCAUGGUGCAGGGGUAAAAACUCCGGUGGUACAGGAUGGACCCGCGUCUGAUUAGCUGGUUGGUGAGGUAACGGCUCACCAAGGCGACGAUCAGUAGCCGGCUUGAGAGAGUGAACGGCCACAUUGGGACUGAGACACGGCCCAAACUCCUACGGGAGGCAGCAGUGGGGAAUAUUGCACAAUGGGGGAAACCCUGAUGCAGCGACGCCGCGUGAGUGAAGAAGUAUUUCGGUAUGUAAAGCUCUAUCAGCAGGGAAGAAAAUGACGGUACCUGACUAAGAAGCCCCGGCUAACUACGUGCCAGCAGCCGCGGUAAUACGUAGGGGGCAAGCGUUAUCCGGAAUUACUGGGUGUAAAGGGUGCGUAGGUGGUAUGGCAAGUCAGAAGUGAAAACCCAGGGCUUAACUCUGGGACUGCUUUUGAAACUGUCAGACUGGAGUGCAGGAGAGGUAAGCGGAAUUCCUAGUGUAGCGGUGAAAUGCGUAGAUAUUAGGAGGAACAUCAGUGGCGAAGGCGGCUUACUG